CAUAAGCUUAAGUAUAAAUUAACAAAGAAACUCAGGUACAAACUAACAAAGAAACAGUAUUAGCAAUCUUUCUCUUAGUUUUCUCUAUGCAGGAGGUGGAAGCGUGCCGUUUAUGAAUGAGGAGAAUAGCACCAGGGCCCGAGCUGGCUGAUAACUUGGAACAAAAUGUCCGGCGCCUCUUACAGUCACAAAUGUCAGGUUUUGAUAUCCAACAGCAUAUCCUCCGACCUUAACAUGAAACAAAUCUACUUUAGUUUAAUGAUAAGAAUACCUUUUUCAAAUUAAAACGAAUGCUUAGUUUCGCGAAACCUUACCUCUCCCUGAGUGUACCAGGGGUACCAGGCCGUCCUAACCGGUGUCCCCAAUUUUUUAACGGCAUACCUAGUGCAUGUCACUGGCAAGGCACCAUCUGUGUCGCCACUGCAUAUUAUGGUAAACACUAAUUAAUUAAAGCUUGAAUACUGAAAUGACUUAAUUUUUCAUAGGAUGAACAUUUUCACUUACAUUGCCGUACCUGUAUACCCAUAUGCGGAUCCCUUCAGCCAUCAGCUCCUGAAUGAUUGGCAACACGGUUUGUGGUUUAUCUUUCCAAUUUCGAUUUAUUUCUCCACUGUUUUUAGAGGUAGCAUGAAAUCAAAAGACAAAUAUCUGAUUUAGAAAAUUAUGAGACUGCAAGAUACUAAUUGAAACUUAACUUAUAAUUGGUAUAUAGGGCAGUGCCUGCAGGAUUGCAAUGGAUAAGGAAGACCGGUGACAUUUGCAUGUAGAGCUUCCUGAACUCGAGGAAUGUUCAAGUAUGUUUCAAUAUAAUUUUCUGAGCAGGGAUCAAAUGUCGAAACCUGUUUGCUAUUUCCUGUUAGCAGAGGGAUCAACAUACUCAAAAAAAAAAAAAAAACUAUAGAUAUGCUGCAUUAGAUAAUUUAUCCGUG
This 929-nucleotide long non-coding RNA is filed under the name Citrus sinensis (sweet orange). RNAcentral's name for it is "long non-coding RNA (CSIN_LNC001522)". The record is from RNAcentral. Lineage: Eukaryota; Viridiplantae; Streptophyta; Magnoliopsida; Sapindales; Rutaceae.